RNAcentral lists this ribosomal RNA (381 nucleotides) under uncultured bacterium. RNAcentral describes it as "bacterial SSU rRNA". It matches the Rfam family "Bacterial small subunit ribosomal RNA", at positions 427 to 793 of the family's 1533-position model. The record is from RNAcentral.
AAAGCACUUUCAGUCGUGAGGAAGGUAGUGUAGUUAAUAGCUGCAUUAUUUGACGUUAGCGACAGAAGAAAGCACCGGCUAACUCCGUGCCAGCAGCCGCGGUAAUACGGAGGGUGCGAGCGUUAAUCGGAAUUACUGGGCGUAAAGCGCAUGCAGGUGGUUUGUUAAGUCAGAUGUGAAAGACCCGGGGCGUCAACCUCGGAAUUGCAUUUGUAAACUGGCAGACUAGAGUACUGUAGAGGGGGGUAGGAAUUUCUAGGUGUAGCGGUGAAAUGCGUAGAGAUCUGAAGGAAUACCGGUGGCGAAGGCGGCCCCCUCGGACAGAUACUGACACUCAGAUGCGAAAGCGUGGGGAGCAAACAGGAUUAGAUACCCUGGUAG